Molecule: ribosomal RNA, 292 nt
Filed under: uncultured bacterium
Lineage: Bacteria
Description: partial 16S ribosomal RNA
Rfam family: Bacterial small subunit ribosomal RNA
Source: RNAcentral
GUGCCAGCAGCCGCGGUAAUACGGAGUGUGCAAGCGUUACUCGGAAUCACUGGGCAUAAAGCGCGCGUAGGCGGGCUUUCAAGUCGGUUGUGAAAUCCCCCAGCUCAACUGGGGAACUGCAUCCGAUACUGUUUGUCUUGAGGACGAGAGGGGAGAGUGGAACUUCUGGUGGAGCGGUGAAAUGCGUAGAUAUCAGAAGGAACGCCGGUGGCGAAAGCGGCUCUCUGGCUCGUAUCUGACGCUGAUGCGCGAAAGCUUGGGUAGCAAACGGGAUUAGAUACCCUAGUAGUCC